This 910-nucleotide ribosomal RNA is filed under the name Clostridium botulinum. Its description in RNAcentral is "bacterial SSU rRNA". It matches the Rfam family "Bacterial small subunit ribosomal RNA", at positions 20 to 947 of the family's 1533-position model. Lineage: Bacteria; Bacillati; Bacillota; Clostridia; Eubacteriales; Clostridiaceae. The record is from RNAcentral.
UGGCUCAGACGAACGCUGGCGGCGUGCUUAACACAUGCAAGUCGAGCGAUGAAGCUUCCUUCGGGAAGUGGAUUAGCGGCGGACGGGUGAGUAACACGUGGGUAACCUGCCUCAAAGUGGGGGAUAGCCUUCCGAAAGGAAGAUUAAUACCGCAUAACAUAAGAGAAUCGCAUGAUUUUCUUAUCAAAGAUUUAUUGCUUUGAGAUGGACCCGCGGCGCAUUAGCUAGUUGGUAAGGUAACGGCUUACCAAGGCAACGAUGCGUAGCCGACCUGAGAGGGUGAUCGGCCACAUUGGAACUGAGACACGGUCCAGACUCCUACGGGAGGCAGCAGUGGGGAAUAUUGCGCAAUGGGGGAAACCCUGACGCAGCAACGCCGCGUGGGUGAUGAAGGUCUUCGGAUUGUAAAGCCCUGUUUUCUGGGACGAUAAUGACGGUACCAGAGGAGGAAGCCACGGCUAACUACGUGCCAGCAGCCGCGGUAAUACGUAGGUGGCGAGCGUUGUCCGGAUUUACUGGGCGUAAAGGGUGCGUAGGCGGAUGUUUAAGUGGGAUGUGAAAUCCCCGGGCUUAACCUGGGGGCUGCAUUCCAAACUGGAUAUCUAGAGUGCAGGAGAGGAAAGCGGAAUUCCUAGUGUAGCGGUGAAAUGCGUAGAGAUUAGGAAGAACACCAGUGGCGAAGGCGGCUUUCUGGACUGUAACUGACGCUGAGGCACGAAAGCGUGGGUAGCAAACAGGAUUAGAUACCCUGGUAGUCCACGCCGUAAACGAUGGAUACUAGGUGUAGGGGGUAUCAACUCCCCCUGUGCCGCAGUUAACACAAUAAGUAUCCCGCCUGGGGAGUACGGUCGCAAGAUUAAAACUCAAAGGAAUUGACGGGGGCCCGCACAAGCAGCGGAGCAUGUGGUUU